UUGGGUUUGGGUUUGUUCUUGUUCUUGCUUUUGGGAAAAUUUUUGGAUGAUUUUUUUUUUACCUUUAUAUAAUCUCUGCUUUUCAUAUUGCUUCCAUUCCUUGGAUGGAUGUUCUUAUGUUGUUACUAUAAUUGCUAUGAUAAUUUAAAACCUUGGAAUAGAUAGAAAGAGGAGAGGUUGAAUAAUAUGUAGAAGAAUGAAUGCCAAGAAUGAUCCUAGUGGCAUUAUAAUUUUUUUCCUCUUUUCCUUUCUUUUUAGCUGCAUGAUGUAUAAUGAAUAUAUAAAAAAUAAUAAAUUGAUUAAAUAUAUCUAAUGGCUCAUAUGUCUUGAACUGAAUUUGUAAAAAUAGUAGUUAAUAGGAUUGUUUUGUUUUCAUCCUAAAAUCCAUUGCACAAUUGCCUAGCUGUUUUCAAGGUGGGACUUACUCGAAUUGUGAGCCUCAAAUAUAAAAGCUCUACCUGAAGCAUUCCUUUUCUGCCUGUCAAAAAACUUUCUUUUUCUCUUUAAUUUUAAAAAUGUUGUACCUCAAGGUUUAUGGGCAAUUGAAAUUCCGAAGUUUGUGCCAUUUUUUCACUUGCCUUUCUACCAAAAUAUUAUUAACUUUAAAUUGUCUAUGAUGAAUAAUUUUUGUGUAAAGUAAAGAAAUUAUUAUACACACACUUAG
This 664-nucleotide unclassified non-coding RNA is filed under the name Hevea brasiliensis (rubber tree). The record is from RNAcentral. Lineage: Eukaryota; Viridiplantae; Streptophyta; Magnoliopsida; Malpighiales; Euphorbiaceae.